UAAGGAAUAUUGGUCAAUGGACGCAAGUCUGAACCAGCCAUGCCGCGUGGAGGAUGAAGGCCCUCUGGGUUGUAAACUUCUUUUAUCUGGGACGAAAAAGGGACUUUCUAGUUCAACUGACGGUACCAGAGGAAUAAGCACCGGCUAACUCCGUGCCAGCAGCCGCGGUAAUACGGAGGGUGCAAGCGUUAUCCGGAUUCACUGGGUUUAAAGGGUGCGUAGGUGGGCAGGUAAGUCAGUGGUGAAAUCUUUGGGCUUAACCCGAAAACUGCCAUUGAUACUAUUUGUCUUGAAUAUUGUGGAGGUCAGCGGAAUAUGUCAUGUAGCGGUGAAAUGCUUAGAUAUGACAUAGCACACCAAUUGCGAAGGCAGCUGGCUACACAUAUAUUGACACUGAUGCACGAAAGCGUGGGGAUCAAACAGGAUUAGAUACCCUGGUAGUCCACGCCCUAAACGAUGGAUACUCGACAUACGCGAUAUACUGUGUGUGUCUGAGCGAAAGCAUUAAGUAUCCCACCUGGGAAGUACGAUCGCAAGAUUGC
This 542-nucleotide ribosomal RNA is filed under the name uncultured Terrimonas sp. RNAcentral describes it as "bacterial SSU rRNA". It matches the Rfam family "Bacterial small subunit ribosomal RNA", at positions 355 to 897 of the family's 1533-position model. Lineage: Bacteria; Pseudomonadati; Bacteroidota; Chitinophagia; Chitinophagales; Chitinophagaceae. The record is from RNAcentral.